RNAcentral lists this non-coding RNA (155 nucleotides) under Equus caballus (horse). RNAcentral's name for it is "Eukaryotic large subunit ribosomal RNA". It matches the Rfam family "Eukaryotic large subunit ribosomal RNA", at positions 1180 to 1347 of the family's 3401-position model. Lineage: Eukaryota; Metazoa; Chordata; Mammalia; Perissodactyla; Equidae. The record is from Rfam by way of RNAcentral.
AUAAUAUGAUGAAUUUUUUUUUUUUUUAAAGAAAACAAUGACACCAAGCAGGAUGGUGACCAUGGAAGUUGGAAUCUGCUAAGGAGUGUUUAAGAACUCAUCUGCCGAAUCAACUCAUCCUGCAAAUAGAUGGCACUGGAGCAUUCAGUGAAUAC